RNAcentral lists this ribosomal RNA (462 nucleotides) under uncultured bacterium. Its description in RNAcentral is "bacterial SSU rRNA". It matches the Rfam family "Bacterial small subunit ribosomal RNA", at positions 343 to 796 of the family's 1533-position model. The record is from RNAcentral.
CGGAGGCAGCAGUGGGGAAUAUUGGGCAAUGGGCGCAAGCCUGACCCAGCCAUGCCGCGUGAGUGAUGAAGGCCUUCGGGUCGUAAAGCUCUGUGGGGAGGGAAGAAACCGGACGUGGAUAAUACCCACGGCUCUUGACGGUACCUCCUUAGCAAGCACCGGCUAACUCCGUGCCAGCAGCCGCGGUAAUACGGAGGGUGCAAACGUUGCUCGGAAUCAUUGGGCGUAAAGCGCACGUAGGCGGCCUGUUAAGUCGGGUGUGAAAGCCCUGGGCUCAACCCAGGAAGUGCACUCGAAACUGGCGGGCUUGAAUAUGGAAGAGGGUCGCGGAAUUCCCGGUGUAGAGGUGAAAUUCGUAGAUAUCGGGAGGAACACCAGUGGCGAAGGCGGCGACCUGGGCCAAUAUUGACGCUGAGGUGCGAAAGCGUGGGGAGCAAACAGGAUUAGAUACCCCCGUAGUCC